Long non-coding RNA from Sebastes umbrosus (honeycomb rockfish), 261 nucleotides. RefSeq lists it as uncharacterized. Lineage: Eukaryota; Metazoa; Chordata; Actinopteri; Perciformes; Sebastidae. The transcript has 3 exons. The record is from RefSeq and is a predicted model, not a curated record.
CCUCCUCUGUGUGGACGUGCAAAUAUCUUGGCAUCUUGUGGAUGUGAGAGCUCUUCUUCAUACAGGAUGUGUGCUUCUGCAGCUAAAGUGAAAGUAAGACAGACCAGGAAACGCUGAGACAUUGUGCGUGAGGCUGGACUGUUGGAUUUAUGAAAACAUCAACCUCCCAACACAGAGAGAAACCCACUAAACUUCACUGAAGGAUAAGAAGCUGUCACUGUGCCAUACAGGUAAAUCACCACCAAAGUUACUGAACAGCUG